UCGUCACUCUCUGGAAGCAAUGCACGAACAGUGCUAGUCUUGGUCCUUGUGGCCUUGACAAACCAUUUGCGAUCCUUUGUUAUUCCUACUUGAUAACGGAAAGAAUUACAACUAGUAGCGUUGGAUCCCUUGGCACGUCAUUCGAUGAAGACCGUUGCAAAAUGCGAUAAGUGGUGUGAUAUGCAAGUCCAAAACUUAUACGUGAACCAUCGAAUUGUUGAACGCACUGCAUCGAGCCUUACCCAGGAACGAUACGCCCCAUUGAGCGUCAUUAUCUCUUCGCGACUUGUCAUUUGCUUGACCUGUCCGGGUUCGGGAUUCAUGGCCUUUUGGCCACGUCUCCUCAGAUUCAUUGCUGCACUCUGGCUGAGUGGGUGACCUUGUCAUGAAUUGUCAGGGGAGGCCAGCGAGCUUUGAGAUGCAAGAUCCUCCCUUGGGGAAGGACCAGCACGGUGUCUAAGGCACCAGCUUCCAAUGCAUGACCUCACGGGGGUGGGACGACCCGCUAGACUUAAGCAUAUUAAUCAGCGGAGGAAAAGAAACUAACAAGGAUUCCCCCAGUAACUGCGAGUGAAGAGGGAUUAGCUCAAUGUG
Molecule: ribosomal RNA, 594 nt
Filed under: uncultured fungus
Lineage: Eukaryota; Fungi
Description: eukaryotic LSU rRNA
Rfam family: Eukaryotic large subunit ribosomal RNA (bases 480-594)
Source: RNAcentral